UAUAAGAGGUUAAACGUGAGGGUACUGGGAAGGUAUUAGCAAGGGGAAUUAAGCCAUGGGGUGUCAUAGGAGCCAUACAAUGGGGGAGUGGUGCAGUAACAAGUAAGUCAGCAUAAUUUGGGGAGGGGGGUAACCUGGGGGAUGUAUGAUUAGACGGGAUAGAUUAUUAUGCCGGAGAUGGGUAGUGGUCCAAAGAGUUUAUUGGCAUGGGAUGGGAUUGCGGCAUAUCAGGUUGUUGGGGAGGUAAUGGCCCUCCAAGGGCUAUAACAGGUACGGGCUUUGAGAGGGGAAGCCCGGAGAUGGGUACUGAGACACAGACCCAGGCCCUAUGGUUUGCAGCAGGCGAGAAACCUUAGCAAUGUGCGAAAGCGCGACUGGGUCAGUCCGAGUGAUUCCUGAUAAGGGAGUCUUUUAUCUGUCGUAAAAGCGCAGGUGAAUAAGGGGUGGGCAAGUCUGGUGUCAGCCGCCGCGGUAAUACCAGCACCUCGAGUGGUCAGGACGUUUAUUGGGCCUAAAGCAUCCGUAGCCGGGUACGCAAGUGUCCGGUUAAAUCCAGCUGCUCAACAGAUGGGCUGCAGGAGAUUCUACAUAGCUAGGGAGCGGGAGAGGCAGACGGUAUUCUGUGGGUAGGGGUAAAAUCCUCUGAUCCAUCGAGGACCACCAGUGGAGAAGGAGGUCUGCCAGAACGCGUUGGACGGUGAGGGAUGAAAGCUGGGGGAGCAAACCGGAUUAGAUACCCGGGUAGUCCCAGCUGUAAACGAUGCAAACUCGGUGAUGCAUUGGCUUAUGGCCAAUGCAGUGCCGCAGGGAAGCCGUUAAGUUUGCAGCCUGGGCAGUACGGUCGCAAGUCUGAAACUUAAAGGAAUAAACGGGGGAGCA
This 879-nucleotide ribosomal RNA is filed under the name uncultured archaeon. RNAcentral describes it as "bacterial SSU rRNA". It matches the Rfam family "Archaeal small subunit ribosomal RNA", at positions 1 to 878 of the family's 1478-position model. The record is from RNAcentral.